This 133-nucleotide ribosomal RNA is filed under the name uncultured bacterium. Its description in RNAcentral is "partial 16S ribosomal RNA". It matches the Rfam family "Bacterial small subunit ribosomal RNA", at positions 337 to 487 of the family's 1533-position model. The record is from RNAcentral.
UCCUACGGGAGGCAGCAGUGGGGAAUAUUGCACAAUGGAGGGAACUCUGAUGCAGCGACGCCGCGUGAGCGAUGAAGGCCUUCGGGUCGUAAAGCUCUGUCCUAUGGGACGAUAAUGACGGUACCAUAGAGAU